RNAcentral lists this unclassified non-coding RNA (2357 nucleotides) under Stegodyphus dumicola. RNAcentral's name for it is "metaxin-1-like, transcript variant X3". Lineage: Eukaryota; Metazoa; Arthropoda; Arachnida; Araneae; Eresidae. The record is from RNAcentral.
UGUCAAGCAGCAAGGAAAUGGAAGUAGCCAACAUGAAUGGCAUUUAAAUGUCAGCUGUAAAGCAACUCAACUCAUUGUUUACAUUAGUAACCUAAAAACGUGUUUGCGGAUUUUCUGAAAUUCAAUAGAUCUGUCCAAAGAAAUCAUCAUUAACAUAACUCCAAAAUGGAACUUGAUAUUUGGCAGGGGGACUGGGGUCUUCCGUCUGUAGAUCUCACAUGUCUCCAAGUGAUGGCUUAUGCAAAAUUUUCUGGAGCACCUGUCAAAAUAAAGAAAACCAAUUGGCCUUUGCGACAUGGACACCUGCCUGUUUUUAGACAUGGCAAGAAAAAUACUUUUACUACUUAUGAUAAUAUAGUAUCAUAUUUACAACGACAGAAUUACAAUGCUGAUGAAGAAUUAACUCCAAAACAGUGUUCUGACAUAAUAGCAUAUACAGCAUUGCUUCGUGACAAGCUUUACCCAGCUCUGCUGUAUAUAUGGUGGGUAGACAAUCAGAAUUAUUGUGAGCUGACUCGGCCAUGGUAUGCCAAAGUUCUGCAUUUCCCUUUAAAUUACUUCCUUCCAGGCCAUCAACAGCGUGCUGCCCAGAGCACCAUUGACAAUUUGUGGAAUAGUGAUCUCAUCGAAGAGGCACAGAAGGAAACAGCGAUCUAUAAAGACGCACAAGAAUGUCUGAACUUGCUGUCUCACCGGUUGGGUGAUAAUGAAUACUUUUUUGGAAAGAAUCCAUGCUCACUUGAUGCUAUAGUUUUUGGAUAUUUGGCUCCACUUCUAAAAGCUCCAUUUCCAACUGCAGCUUUACAAAAUCAUUUAAAAGCAUGUACAAAUCUUUCUCAAUUUGUUCAAAGGAUUCUUCAAAAAUAUUUUCCUUUGUCACCCGAAGAAAUUGAAGCUUUGAAAAGAAAGGAACAAACAGAAGCUGAAGAAAAACGAGAAUUUCCACAUAAAUGGAGAGAUAUAAUCCUCUCCGGGCUUUUUGCUGCUGCAGUAAUGUUUGCAUAUGCUGCAUCAACUAUGAAGAAUCAAAGUGACCAGCUUUAUUAACUUGUGAUGGUACACCAGCUUCAUUAACUUGUGAUGGUUGAUUUUUCUUUGGCAUUAAUUUAAGAUUUAUAAUUUCAGUCCAUUUGAAAAACAAAUUUGUCAAUUUUUGGUCAUACCAGCCAAAGUAUGGCAAAAUAACAUAAUUUGCUGUUAUGUAUCUUCGGUUUAAAAUUACCUCUUACUUAUGCAUCUGCUGAAAUUUUUUUGAACAUUUCCAAACCUUCCUUCCUGCAGAAUACAGUUAUUGAAAAAUUCAAAACCAGAAGCAUUCUUUCUUAAUUUUCCCCAGCCUUUCCCUAGCUUAUACAUAUGCAUUUCUGUGUAAGAAAAACAUUUUCUUACAUAGAAAUGCAUACGUAUAAGCUAGGGAAAGGCUGUUAACUGUUCUUAUAUCAUUCUUUUGUUCGUCUUCUGUUGUGCAUGAUUACUUCUGCAUGUUUCUUUAUAGUUUUGACUGAGAAUUUUUCUUAAAAUCAAAGAAAUGAAAUCAUUUAUUAUUUAAUGAAAUAGAGAAUGGUUUCAUUUUCAUUGUUUCUUGUUCAGUUUGGUAAUGAAUAAGUAAACCAAAUUAUUGAUUUCAUUCAAAAUAGAAGCAAUUAAAAUAUCUGAAGAAUUGCCAAGCACAUUUAAGAACGUUUUAGCAGAAACAUAUGAAAUUUGUGCAAUAAAUGAAAGUAAAAGGAAUUUUGAUGAAGGAAGGCAUUAUUAUGAUGUCACAUUGUGAUUGCUGAAUUCAUUGUAAAAUAUGAAGCAGAAUACAAAGCAGUGCCACUAUUAUGAGCAGGCGGGCAACAGAGAUUUGUGUGGUAAAUUUCUCCAGGUGUAACAUGAGUUAGUUUCUCUUAGAAUGUCUUCCAUAAAGGUAUCUUUCUUUAGGUAAAUGCUCUCACAUGCUUUGCUGUAAUCAAUUAAUCAAAAUCUGUUGAACUAGUAGGAGCUUUAAUGCAAUGGUUUCAAAUAUAGAUAUAUAUAUAUAUAUUGCCUUUAAUGAGCCUGAUAGCUGUUAAAUACUGAGGAAAAAAAGACUGUGCUUUGAUGGAUUCUGAACAGAUGGUUCUGUUCACAAGAUGGUUGAAUUUAUUUCACUAAAUAUGAAAAGGUUAUUCUCAAAGAAAAACAGAGGUUAGUUAUGCUCGUGAAGAAGAUGAUUACAUUCAAAAUGAUGGACAGGAAUAUUAUGACGAAGGAGAUACUGACGAAAAUAGUUAAUCUUGUGUAUUUUUUAGUUGUAGGUUUAAAAAUAUAAUUUAUUUCAAAGUAAUACGAUGUCAUUUUGUAGUUAGAACAAAAUAAAUGUUUGUAUAAAAAAU